This 253-nucleotide ribosomal RNA is filed under the name uncultured bacterium. RNAcentral describes it as "partial 16S ribosomal RNA". It matches the Rfam family "Bacterial small subunit ribosomal RNA", at positions 524 to 776 of the family's 1533-position model. The record is from RNAcentral.
UACGUAGGGUGCGAGCGUUAAUCGGAAUUACUGGGCGUAAAGCGUGCGCAGGCGGUUCGUUAAGUUCGUUGUGAAAGCCCCGGGCUCAACCUGGGAACUGCAAUGGAAACUGGCGGGCUUGAGUGUGGCAGAGGGGGGUGGAAUUCCGCGUGUAGCAGUGAAAUGCGUAGAUAUCAAGAGGAACACCUGCGGCGAAGGCGGGUUGCUGGGCCGACACUGACGCUGAGGCGCGAAAGCUAGGGGAGCGAACGGG